ACCAGACUCAGCAAGGCACGUUGGCUCCCACGUGUUGACAGAAACAUGGAAUGAAGCCACUGUUUACUUUAGCAAGCGCUCACCAGAGCUCCGUGGGCCCAAGUAGGAACUUGCCUUGGCACCCGCUCCCCGAAGCUCUGGCAGGUCCCUGGCAGCUGGCAUCCUCGCUGGGGAGGACACGUGCCGUUAGCUCCCGCCUGCCACCGCCGCCUGCUGCGCGCUGGUGUUGCUGGUGACAGGCAUGUGACAGCACACCACCGCGUUUCUCCAGCAAAGCCCACCAGGACAGCGGUUCUCCAGCGACGGGCAGGGGACGGGCAGGUGUGGCUUCUCCUGCUUGUGAAAGAUGACCAUGGGAGAUUGCUCUGACCUUACUCCUUAUUCCUGGAAGCUCCCAAGAAGCUGCAAAACGUAAGAAAGAUGCUUGUAGCUGGGCUCCAUUGGAGAUGACCAGCGUGCGUUUCAGUCCGGUCCGGCAGCCAGGGCUGAGCAACGCCUUUCCAUGGAAAUGGCUCCCAUCUGGGAUCCGACUGACCACCGCCUCCUCUCCCCACCGGGUGAGCUGCCCUGAGGGUCAGCCAGAGAUUCGGCCGAUGAGAGCUGCAAGCGGCACGGCGGAUGCCCCCACGCUCCUCGUUGUCCCAGGGCCGGGGACUCGCACCGCCGGCGCGGCUCCCGCGUUGUUCCUCCGCACCGUGGCUGGGUCACCGCAGCCCAGCCCGCGUCGCCCUGCCCGUCGCCGCCUCCGCAGCAGGAGCGCAGCCCCCCAGCACCCUGGUCCCUGCCGCCGUCCGCACUGCCUCUGAGCCGUCUGGAGCGGGAGGGCGAUGCUGCCGGGUGUCAGGCCUGCUCCGGGCCCGCGGCUGCAGGGACAACGCGGCG
RNAcentral lists this long non-coding RNA (882 nucleotides) under Apteryx owenii (little spotted kiwi). RNAcentral's name for it is "lncRNA (ENSAOWG00000009872.1)". The record is from RNAcentral. Lineage: Eukaryota; Metazoa; Chordata; Aves; Apterygiformes; Apterygidae.